UACGAAGGGAGCUAGCGUUGUUCGGAAUCACUGGGCGUAAAGCGCACGUAGGCGGAUUUGUCAGUCAGGGGUGAAAUCCCGGGGCUCAACCUCGGAACUGCCUUUGAUACAGCAAGUCUUGAGUUCGAGAGAGGUGGGUGGAAUUCCUAGCGUAGAGGUGAAAUUCGUAGAUAUUAGGAAGAACACCGGUGGCGAAGGCGGCCCACUGGCUCGAUACUGACGCUGAGGUGCGAAAGCGUGGGGAGCAAACAGG
Molecule: ribosomal RNA, 253 nt
Filed under: uncultured bacterium
Lineage: Bacteria
Description: partial 16S ribosomal RNA
Rfam family: Bacterial small subunit ribosomal RNA
Source: RNAcentral